Salvia splendens (bonfire salvia) is the source of this 99-nucleotide small nuclear RNA. The record is from RefSeq and is a predicted model, not a curated record. NCBI's taxonomy places the organism in Eukaryota, Viridiplantae, Streptophyta, Magnoliopsida, Lamiales, Lamiaceae.
CUCCCUUCGGGGACAUUCGAUAAAAUCGAAACGUUACAUAGAAGAUUGGCAUGGCUCAUACUCAAGGAUGACACACAUAAAUCGAGAAAGAGGAUGUUU